This 253-nucleotide ribosomal RNA is filed under the name uncultured bacterium. Its description in RNAcentral is "partial 16S ribosomal RNA". It matches the Rfam family "Bacterial small subunit ribosomal RNA", at positions 524 to 776 of the family's 1533-position model. The record is from RNAcentral.
UACAGAGGGUGCGAGCGUUAAUCGGAAUUACUGGGCGUAAAGCGCGCGUAGGCGGCUUGUUAAGUCGGAUGUGAAAUCCCUGGGCUCAACCUAGGCAUUGCAUUCGAUACUGGCAAGCUAGAGUAUGGGAGAGGAAGGUAGAAUUCCAGGUGUAGCGGUGAAAUGCGUAGAGAUCUGGAGGAAUACCGAUGGCGAAGGCAACCUUCUGGCCUAAUACUGACGCUGAGGUGCGAAAGCAUGGGGAGCAAACAGG